ACAAAAUCCCUAGAUCUCUCCUGUUGCUCCCCACGCACGCCGGCGCCCACGCCUCCGACCGCCGCCCCGCGCCGCCCGGGGCUACCGCCGGUCUAUCCCACCGCUGCCCCACGCCGCCCUUCCUCUGUAGCACCGCCCCACGCUGCCCUUCCUCUGUAGCACCGCCCCACGCUGCCCUGUCCCUACAGCGCAGCCCAACUCCGUCCCGCCUCUCUCCGCCGCCGGCUCCACACCCUCGUGAUCUCUCUCCGGUUGGCCGCCUCUUUCCAACAUCCCGGGCCCGACCUCCCCAUCUCCACCUUCCAGCUCACGAAGACACACGCAGCGGCAAAUUUGGAUGGGGGCAGCGUGCGCCUGGGCAAGGGCAUCUCUCUCUGUCUUUGGCUGGGCAGGGGCACAGAAGCGGCUGAGGUACAAGCUCCUCCCUCCAUACAUUCCUCUGUCUUUGGUCCAGUUAUUUUGCCGCAUCAAUUUUGUAUUACAAAGUUUGUUAAGAGAUGAACUGGGAGUGAAGGAGUUUGUUGUGGAUGACUCCGUUAUUUGCCCCUUCAGUACUCUGUUGGUAGACGCUGUUUAUGUAGAUUUAAUAUUUUUUAUAGUACUGAGUUAUGUUAGAUUUAAUUUUUAUUACAGUACUAAGUUCUGUUGGCAGCCUGCAGCUUCUUUGUCAAAAAAUGUGAAAAUAACUUGGUUCUCUCGAAAGUGAAGCUUCUUUGUAGCACCAAUGGAUGUGUUUCUAGUGUUUGUGCUGCUCCAGCUAAUCACAUUUCUGGGAUGAGUUCACGACAAUGGCGCGUCAGCAUACCGCCAUCCAACUGCCCAAAUACUCAACUUUUUCUUACAGAAAUCUUCUUCAUGCUUUACUUUCUUACUGAAUUUUUCUUCAUGCCGCCCAAGAAAAACAACAGAACAAUAGUUCUUACUUCCUUGAAAGAUGGCUCAAGACAAACAUAGACAGCCUUGUGACAUGGUUGUCUUGCUUUCCUUGUUUCACUUCAUUUUAGUGUACACCACUUUGCUGGAGAACCACAUCCAGCCGGAGGAAAGAACCAUGGAAUCACAAUGCAGAACUCCCGCUGCAUAGUUCUUGCUUCCCGCCUCUCAAAGAAAAGGACCUGGCCCACAAUGGCCUGAAUCAAGCUCAUCUUGAAUCUUGGUAUCAUAUAGACAUAUAGAUAGGUUUAUUAUUGUCAUGUUUCCCUGCAAGCAACUACAACCAAAAUUAACCUAGAAACUAACACUAUGCAGACUGAUUAUGCUGCAUACAAAAGAUAUUGUGGAUUAGUAUAUGCAUUUCUUGUUAUAAAUAUUUUUCCAUUUGUUGUUAUAAAUAUUUUUCCUAUACAAAUUCCAAAGGACCAGAGCAGUCACCAUGAUUGUCAAAUUUCCUUCAAUGCCAAGGUCAAAUAUUGUGUGGAAACAUUUAUGAUGCAAUAAUCACUUCUGCUACUGAAACUUUGCAUCUGACCGGACUAUACAGUGCCAAGAUGUCCUCCAUGGGGUGGGGUAAUAUAACUGGUGGCACAAACUUACUUUUACAACUAAGGGGCAAACAAUGGGCAUACGGGCCAAACAAUGGAUCGCAAUAGGAUGUAGCACAAGCCUCUCGGUUCUCUCUAUACAUAUGACCUGACAUUCAUCUCUCUCAUUUUUUCUGCAGUUAAACAGAGGACAACUGUUUGUAACAUUGAGCCGAUGAAGAGAAGUAGCAGAAUAUUCGACGCCACCUUAGUGCAUAAGG
This 1741-nucleotide long non-coding RNA is filed under the name Triticum aestivum (bread wheat). Its description in RNAcentral is "long non-coding RNA (TAES_LNC025119)". The record is from RNAcentral. Lineage: Eukaryota; Viridiplantae; Streptophyta; Magnoliopsida; Poales; Poaceae.